Molecule: ribosomal RNA, 439 nt
Filed under: uncultured bacterium
Lineage: Bacteria
Description: partial 16S ribosomal RNA
Rfam family: Bacterial small subunit ribosomal RNA
Source: RNAcentral
CUACGGGCCGCUGCAGUGAGGAAUAUUGCACAAUGGGGGAAACCCUGAUGCAGCAACGCCGCGUGGAGGAUGACGCAUUUCGGUGUGUAAACUCCUUUUAUGAGUCAAGAAAAUGACGGUAGCUCAUGAAUAAGCACCGGCUAACUCCGUGCCAGCAGCCGCGGUAAUACGGAGGGUGCAAGCGUUACUCGGAAUCACUGGGCGUAAAGGACGCGUAGGCGGGCUUGUAAGUCAGGUGUGAAAUCCUACAGCUUAACUGUAGAACUGCACUUGAAACUACGAGCCUAGAGUAUGGGAGGGGCAGAUGGAAUUAGUGGUGUAGGGGUAAAAUCCGUAGAUAUCACUAGGAAUACCGAAAGCGAAGGCGAUCUGCUGGAACAUUACUGACGCUAAGGCGUGAAAGCGUGGGGAGCAAACGGGAUUAGAUACCCGAGUAGUC